Molecule: ribosomal RNA, 497 nt
Filed under: uncultured bacterium
Lineage: Bacteria
Description: partial 16S ribosomal RNA
Rfam family: Bacterial small subunit ribosomal RNA
Source: RNAcentral
GAUGAACGCUGGCGGCGUGCCUAAUACAUGCAAGUCGAGCGAACGGACGAGAAGCUUGCUUCUCUGAUGUUAGCGGCGGACGGGUGAGUAACACGUGGAUAACCUACCUAUAAGACUGGGAUAACUUCGGGAAACCGGAGCUAAUACCGGAUAAUAUUUUGAACCGCAUGGUUCAAAAGUGAAAGACGGUCUUGCUGUCACUUAUAGAUGGAUCCGCGCGGCAUUAGCUAGUUGGUAAGGUAACGGCUUACCAAGGCAACGAUGCAUAGCCGACCUGAGGGGGUGAUCGGCCACACUGGAACUGAGACACGGUCCAGACUCCUACGGGAGGCAGCAGUAGGGAAUCUUCCGCAAUGGGCGAAAGCCUGACGGAGCAACGCCGCGUGAGUGAUGAAGGUCUUCGGAUCGUAAAACUCUGUUAUUAGGGAAGAACAUAUGUGUAAGUAACUGUGCACAUCUUGACGGUACCUAAUCAGAAAGCCACGGCUAACUACGUG